ACCCCUGUAGCUCAGUGGAAGAGCGCCCGCUUGAUAAGCGGAAGAGGAGAGUUCGAUUCUCUCCAGGGGUA
Molecule: transfer RNA, 71 nt
Filed under: Armatimonas rosea
Lineage: Bacteria; Bacillati; Armatimonadota; Armatimonadia; Armatimonadales; Armatimonadaceae
Rfam family: tRNA
About the family: Transfer RNA (tRNA) molecules are approximately 80 nucleotides in length. Their secondary structure includes four short double-helical elements and three loops (D, anti-codon, and T loops).
Source: Rfam by way of RNAcentral